This 327-nucleotide ribosomal RNA is filed under the name uncultured bacterium. RNAcentral's name for it is "bacterial SSU rRNA". It matches the Rfam family "Bacterial small subunit ribosomal RNA", at positions 28 to 342 of the family's 1533-position model. The record is from RNAcentral.
GACGAACGCUGGCGGCGUGCCUAAUACAUGCAAGUCGAACGGUCUUUUCUAUGGAAGCUUGCUUCCACUGGGAAGAUAGUGGCGGACGGGUGAGUAACACGUGGGUAACCUGCCCAUAAGAGGGGGAUAACAUCCGGAAACGGAUGCUAAUACCGCAUAAUAUCAGAGGCCGGCAUCGGUUUUUGAUCAAAGGAUUUAUUCGCUUUGGGAUGGGCUCGCGCCUGAUUAGAUAGUUGGUGAGGUAAUGGCUCACCAAGUCUGCGAUCAGUAGCCGGACUGAGAGGUUGAUCGGCCACAUUGGGACUGAGACACGGCCCAGACUCCUAC